CUGCCAUUUAAAGUUCCUUUGAAUAACCCACAAUCAAGUUCAGAUGUUCUCGUAGGCUUUAUAUAAAUAUAUAUACAUCGAGAAAUAAUGUCAAACGAAUAAAAUAUUU
Long non-coding RNA from Hippocampus comes (tiger tail seahorse), 109 nucleotides. RefSeq lists it as uncharacterized. The record is from RefSeq and is a predicted model, not a curated record. The transcript is spliced from 3 exons. Lineage: Eukaryota; Metazoa; Chordata; Actinopteri; Syngnathiformes; Syngnathidae.